Molecule: small nucleolar RNA, 129 nt
Organism: Mastomys coucha (southern multimammate mouse)
Lineage: Eukaryota; Metazoa; Chordata; Mammalia; Rodentia; Muridae
Product: small nucleolar RNA SNORA40
Exons: 1
Source: RefSeq, a predicted model, not a curated record
CACACUUGAGUGUUGCCUUGGAAAACUGGCAGACGAAGUCAUAAGAGGACAGCUGAAAGAAUAAAUCUUCUUUUGUAGCCCAGCACUCAUUGUUGAAGAUGAACUUUGAUACAGAUGAAAAGGGAUAUG